Molecule: ribosomal RNA, 796 nt
Filed under: uncultured Bacteroidota bacterium
Lineage: Bacteria; Pseudomonadati; Bacteroidota
Description: bacterial SSU rRNA
Rfam family: Bacterial small subunit ribosomal RNA
Source: RNAcentral
AGGAGAGUUUGAUCCUGGCUCAGGAUGAACGCUAGCGACAGGCUUAACACAUGCAAGUCGAGGGGCAGCGUGGCGGUAGCAAUACUGCCGACGGCGACCGGCGCACUGGUGAGUAACACGUAUGCAACCUGCCCCUGGUUGGGGGAUAACCCGCGGAAACGCGGCCUAAUACCCCGUAUGCGCCGAGGCCGCAUGACUUCGGCGUGAUAGAAUUUCGUCCAGGGAUGGGCAUGCGGCGCAUUAGCUGGUUGGCGGGGCAACGGCCCACCAAGGCGACGAUGCGUAGGGGUUCUGAGAGGAAGGUCCCCCACACUGGUACUGAGACACGGACCAGACUCCUACGGGAGGCAGCAGUGAGGAAUAUUGGUCAAUGGGCGGUAGCCUGAACCAGCCAAGUCGCGUGAGGGAUGACGGCCCUACGGGUUGUAAACCUCUUUUGUCGGGGAGUAACCCGCGUCACGUGUGGCGCGCUGAGAGUACCCGGCGAAUAAGCAUCGGCUAACUCCGUGCCAGCAGCCGCGGUAAUACGGAGGAUGCGAGCGUUAUCCGGAUUUAUUGGGUUUAAAGGGUGCGCAGGCGGUCUGCCAAGUCAGCGGUCAAACUGCGGGGCUCAACCCCGUACCGCCGUUGAAACUGGUGGGCUGGAGUCUGUGGGACGGUGGCGGAAUGCGCGGUGUAGCGGUGAAAUGCAUAGAUAUCACGCAGAACUCCGAUUGCGAAGGCAGCUGCCGACCACAUCACUGACGCUCAUGCACGAAAGCGUGGGUAUCGAACAGGAUUAGAUACCCUGGUACCU